GGGAACUGGAGUCAGUUGGCUGCUGUGAGGAUGAGGAAGAGUCAGUGCCUGGAGGAGCUGCCUACAAGAAACAUCAAGGAGCUCUUUCAGGUUUGAAAAAUAUAAUAGCUGCACAAAACAGUGUGACUCCAGGGGCAGGGGGCACUAGGCCUUGAAGUGGAAAGAAACAGAAAACACACAAUCAGCCAUAGCUGCAGUUUCACCAGGAAUCAGCCAAGAUGGACCUACCCUGCAGAGGUUACAGGUGUCAAUGUGUCUCUGCUACAAAAUGGCUGAUUUCCAUGGAGGCUCCAGGACUUGCAAGGAAACCUUACAGUCUACAGCAGAAGAGAGACCCUGCCUGUGGGGUCCUGGACCAGGCUGGACUGCUGGCUUGGUGCGUGAGGACUUCAAGGCUGCCCAUUAGCAAGCCUUAACCUGCCCUUGCAGAGCAGGCCUAGGAGAGCCAUGGACAGACCAAUGUCCUUGGAUUUGCCUAACUGCACUGACACUGAGGUCAAGAGACCAAAGAAAACCUAAACCCAUGAGGCUGUCUCCUCAGAAGCACUUAAAAGAACUUGGUACUUCUGCAAACAGGGUUUCUUAGCUUUUUUUAAAGGGUUUCUUCAGUCUCCCAAGUGUAGACUAAGAUGGGAUGCAGCAGUCUCUAAGACAGGAACACGCUGUGCUACUGAGACUUGACAGCAUGCAGGGAUAACAGCAGUGCUCCAUCAGCAUGGUGCCAUGGCU
Molecule: non-coding RNA, 729 nt
Organism: Zonotrichia albicollis (white-throated sparrow)
Lineage: Eukaryota; Metazoa; Chordata; Aves; Passeriformes; Passerellidae
Source: RefSeq, a predicted model, not a curated record